ACCCACAGGGAAAGCACCAUGAGAAGAUGAUGGCAGAGAUCAGGGCGACGUGUCUACAAGCCAAGCGACACCAAAUGUGGCCAGCAGCCCAUGUAAAGCUGGAGGAGAGGCCUCAAAUAAAUGCUGCCUCACAGCAUUCAGGGGGAACUGACCCUGUCCACACCUUGACCUUGAACUUCUGGGCUCCAGAACUGUGAGACAGCAUGUUUCUGUUGUUGAAGGAGCAGCGUGGCUAGAGGAAUUCCUGCAGCUUAGAUUUCGCUGGCACCGUUACCACUCCCAGAGAGGAGCGGCUGGAGUUCACGGCUGGUUCCUGACAAACUUCCUAAUUAAUCUGCUAAAGAUCAGAGGAGGACUAAUAGGAGCUGAAGACUGUGUGCGAGACCACCCCUCCGCCCUCUCCCUUUGUGUGUGCAUGUGUGUGUGUGUGUGUGUGUGUGUGCGCGUGCACGCGUGCGCGCAUGUGGUGCCGAACUUGGCAGGAGAGAGAUGGCCUCACCAGCGACAAAGCAUUGCUGCUGCUGUUGCUGCCACCUAUCUUCCCUGCUUUGGGAGGAUACAUUUUCUCCUCUUACUUAGAAGUUUAAGGGAGUCACCCAAGCCUUCCUCUCCCAGAUACAACAGUGGAAUAAAAUAUCUUCCAACCAACUUUUUUUUUUUGAGACGGAAUCUCACUCUGUUACCUGGUUGGAGCUCAGCAGCGCGAUCAUGGCCCACUGCAACUUCUGUCUCCCAGUUUCAAGUGAUUCUCCUGUCUCAGCCUCCCAAGUAGCUGGGAUUACAGGAGUGUGCCACCCACCAUGCCCGGGUAAUUUUUGUAUUUUUACUAGAGACAAGGUUUCACUAUGUGGUCCGGACUGGUCUCAAACUCCUGACCUCUGGUGAUCUGCCCACUUCGGCCUCUCAAAGUGCUGGGAUUACAGGCAUGAGCCCCCGCACCCGGCUGCAACCAACUUUUUUGUGGAAUACAGGAUCUUGAUGUUUGGGUGCCUGAAGGCAGAAGCUGUUGCACAUGGAAUGGAUUAAAGUUUUCCCCUCCGCAACCAAAAAUCCUUGGGGUCCCAGGAGCAAAAGAUGCUCCAGGGCACAGGACAAUUCAAGAAGGCCCGAGGUGAUAUUGAAGACUGCAGAGACAUCCAGCUCGGUUGUGUCUCUGGAGGUGUCCAGACUUUGCAGACAGACGUUGCACAUAAAGAGCUGAAAAACUGAGGAAGCUGAGCUGGAGAAGGAAAUCACUUCUACUCAGCCUUGACCUGCGUCUGAUGCUAUGGGGCCUCUUAGGGUUACCUCAUGCUUCAUGCACCCCUUUCUCUGUUCUUCAGCAGAAGGCAGGGUGUAGGGAAGCAGGUCUGUGCCUCCUUUCUCCCUGCCAGGCCUGACUCUCCAGGCAAAGAGACACCAUUAAGGAGUAUAAUUUGUUGAUCCAGGCUCUCCUUGCGUUUCAGUGCAGAGUGGCAUCGUUUUCUUUAUGACCCCGUAAAGUCACAGCCGAGAGGCCGAUUUGGAAAACAAACUGCCUCAGGUUGACGGAUAAUUAGAUACAGGGGACAUAUUAUAUGCCUUUGCAUAUAAAUGUGCUCCGAGGCGUGUUGGUUCAUCUGAAGUUGAGGUUAAAGGCGCGCCAGGUAUUCCUGACACAUCAGGAUAUAUAUUUUCAUAUGGUCUCAGGUGCUGUGUUGGUUUUAUAGGCCUUUCAUCCCGGUGCUGAUGGAUGGGGUGUGAUCACCACCCAACUUAGAAGAAACGGACUUCCCUUGCCCAGGGGCCUCCUGGCGUUUUUGUUUUGUGUUCUCCCUCUCCACCUCCACUUUCUCUCCUUCGUUGGGAAGGGAACUGUUCUUUGGGCCUAGGAUUCUGCUGUGAGUGACUAAUGGCCCCAGUAGGAGGGACCGGGACUAAUUUUUCUUUUCUGGACUCUAAUAGGCCCAAUUAAUUCAGCUGCAACAUGGGCCCUUACAAGCCUGGGACAAGCCUGGAUGGAAUUCUAUAUUGAGGAGUUAAUCCUAAUAAAAAAUGAUUAAAGAAGAGGACGCCUCCACCCACAGGAAGGAGCCAGCCCGGUGGGGAGCUGUUUGACCAGGGGAGUAUUCUCAGCAGCUGCCACACGUGGAGGUGUGGAGCAGGAUCUUGGCAGCGGACUGCCAUGGGAGCUCUGGGGAAAAAGGACCAGCUGGACUCCAGUACCUCCUGAGAGACCACCACCCUCCCUGCCUCCAGCUCAUGCCCAGCUCUGAGUCAAACGGACUCUUCCUGUUGUACUGCGAGGUUGUGCAAACCUUAAAGGGCAAACACAGUGAGUGUGGACAGCCCACUCUCUGACAGCCCAGAUCAUCUGAAGCUAUCCCUGGGCUGGGAGCUGGAAGCCAUUCUUGUGAACCACUCCUUAUACCUUGAGCUAAGCCUCUUUGGGUCCCAGAAGUCUGAAGCUCCAGCUGCCUGGCACGACUGAAUCUAGAUGAUUUCUUGAGUACCAGUAGUUUGGCAUUUAAAAAUACUGGAUUAACUGCAGUGUAAACUUAGAUUGCAUUUCAGAUUGUAAACAAUGACCCCAGUGCUUCAUGUGAUGUUAAAUCAGAAAUGAGCUAUUAGCCAAGCUAGUCCUCUUAUGAAUGAGCCCCUAACCCUGAACCAGGGAUCGUUGAAUGAAAAUCAUCAAAAUGAUUUAUCUUCACUUUACCUAUUAUCUCACAAGAAUCUCAUUACUCAGGGAAAAUGAGGGUGUACUUCAGGGAACGGAGGGCCUGGGGAAGGGGGACUUCCUUAUAACUCAACUUUCAGAGGGAGCUGAGUUGUAAACAGAUGGAACAAGGUAUGUACGAGAAGCCUCUUAGAUUUAGUCUUUCAUAUCAAGGCUCUUGCUGAAAAUCCUGGCACAGCUGUGAAAUGAGGGGAGCUCUGACACACAGAGACACCCUCCUUGCCUCACCAACCUUCCCCUACAGAGUCAUGCGCACAGAGAGCAGGUACCAAUACUGAAAAUGCCUUUCUGGAGUUUCCUCAGCUUAAACCCUUGACAGCUUAGCAACAGCAUUAAGUGAGGAAGGAGUUUCCUUGACCUGGGGAAGAAGAACCAACUCAUAAACAUGGAACUGUGCCCACUGCCUCUUCCUUUGCUCUGUGGAUUGGCUGUGGUUCUGCCCUGGCACUCAGAUGUCAAGGUGCUCUGGCUGUUUGGGAGGAAGCCCAGCCUGGGUCAGGUGGUCAUAAGCCAGAGCCCCUGUCCUGUCCCCAGGGUUGGCCUCCCUCUGGGGUCCAGCAUGGCCCCAGUACUGAGGCUCCCAGUGCUGGAGAAUGUGCCCUCUCCUCUUUUUGUUUCCAUACCAAGGGGAUCUGCAGGGUAAGGGCAAAUUAUUCUUAGCAGAUUGGGGCUAUGGGUAAACCGGAAGGGAUGAGGGAGAGAGGAGAGAGGAGAGGAAAGGGAAGGAGAGGGGAGGGCAGGGGUUAGGUAGAGGAGAGAGACAGCAAGAAAAAAUAGAAAAAAAAAGGAUAUAAAGGUUGCAAAUACAAAGGGAGAUUAACAAGGAGUAGAAGAAGGGAGGCAGAAGAGGGAGAAACAGAGAAGAGGAACAAAGAAGACAUUUCCAAAAAAGACGUGAGCACACCAGGCAGGAGGGAGAAAAGGAACAAGGAGAAAGGAAGGAAGUGAGACAAGCUGGGGAGAGAAGAGGCAAAGGCAGCCAGGAGCAGGUGGAGGUGAGAGAGGAGUGGGAAACCCCAGAGGGUACAAGGGAAAAAAUGAGGGAAGCCAGUGGGAGGAAGGUGAGGAAGAGGAGAGGGAACAGGCACUGGAUGGGGAAGAGGUGAGCGGGAGAAAGCCUGUGCUGUGUGGAUUAUUGUGUGUUUGUCAUCUGGAAUGGUAUAAGCUGUAGGUACAGCAACUCCUGCGCAUGAUUUAUGGUCCCUGUCAGGCAGGGACCGCGCUUUGUCUGCUGUAGCGUGGACGAUGAAUGCUCCGCUGUCAUCCUAGCCUGGCCAGCGUUUCUCUCUCUCUGCUCCCAACGCUGGCUCCCCAUUUCACGCCAGUGAACAUAAACAAUCUUUUGUAAACCUGACAGUCACACUUGCUUCUUUGGAAACAUAAAGCA
Molecule: long non-coding RNA, 4085 nt
Organism: Pongo pygmaeus (Bornean orangutan)
Lineage: Eukaryota; Metazoa; Chordata; Mammalia; Primates; Hominidae
Exons: 4
Source: RefSeq, a predicted model, not a curated record